GUUCAGUUUUGAGAGGUCUAAUCUUCUCAACUGAAAUUUGUUCUUUGAAAACUGGAUAUUGUAAGAAAGCAAUUUAUGAAAAAAGAAACAAUGUAUACACCGCGUUUUAAAUGAGUUUUUUAACGUUCUUAUCGUAAGAUAAAACGUAUUAACGACAAUUUUGAGAAAUCAAAAUAGGUUAAGUUAAUAAGGGCGCACGGUGGAUGCCUUGGCACUAGGAGCCGAAGAAGGACGGGACUAACUCCGAUAUGCUUUGGGGAGCUGUAAGUAAGCUUUGAUCCAAAGAUUUCCGAAUGGGGGAACCCAGCAUCUUUUAUAGGAUGUUACUACUAACUGAAUACAUAG
This 345-nucleotide unclassified non-coding RNA is filed under the name Carnobacterium divergens. RNAcentral describes it as "partial contains 16S-23S ribosomal RNA intergenic spacer and 23S ribosomal RNA". The stretch from base 177 to 345 matches the Rfam family "Bacterial large subunit ribosomal RNA", at positions 1 to 169 of the family's 2925-position model. The record is from RNAcentral. Lineage: Bacteria; Bacillati; Bacillota; Bacilli; Lactobacillales; Carnobacteriaceae.